RNAcentral lists this ribosomal RNA (388 nucleotides) under uncultured bacterium. RNAcentral's name for it is "bacterial SSU rRNA". It matches the Rfam family "Bacterial small subunit ribosomal RNA", at positions 30 to 419 of the family's 1533-position model. The record is from RNAcentral.
AUUGAACGCUGGCGGCAUGCCUUACACAUGCAAGUCGAACGGCAGCGCGGGGCAACCUGGCGGCGAGUGGCGAACGGGUGAGUAAUAUAUCGGAACGUACCCUGGAGUGGGGGAUAACGUAGCGAAAGUUACGCUAAUACCGCAUACGAUCUAAGGAUGAAAGUGGGGACGCGCAAGCACCUCAUGCUCCUGGAGCGGCCGAUAUCUGAUUAGCAGUUGGUGGGUAAAGGCCUACCAAGGCAUCGAUCAGUAGCUGGUCUGAGAGGACGACCAGCCACACUGGAACUGAGACACGGUCCAGACUCCUACGGGAGGCAGCAGGUGGGGAAUUUUGGACAAUGGGACGAAAGCCUGAUCCAGCAAUGCCGCGUGAGUGAAGAAGGCCUGG